GACGAACGCUGGCGGCGUGCUUAACACAUGCAAGUCGAGCGGUAAGGCCCUUUCGGGGGUACACGAGCGGCGAACGGGUGAGUAACACGUGGGUGACCUGCCUUUAGCUCUGGGAUAAGCCUGGGAAACUGGGUCUAAUACCGGAUAUGACCCUAUGGCGCAUGUUGUGGGGUGGAAAGCCUUGUGCGGCUAGGGAUGGGCCCGCGGCCUAUCAGCUUGUUGGUGGGGUGAUGGCCUACCAAGGCGACGGACGGGUAGCCGGCCUGAGAGGGCGACCGGCCACACUGGGACUGAGACACGGCCCCAGACUCCUACGGGAGGCAGCAGUGGGGAAUCUUGCGCAAUGGGCGAAAGCCCGACGCAGCGACGCCGCGUGAGGGAUGACGGCC
Molecule: ribosomal RNA, 389 nt
Filed under: uncultured bacterium
Lineage: Bacteria
Description: bacterial SSU rRNA
Rfam family: Bacterial small subunit ribosomal RNA
Source: RNAcentral